GGGUUUGUGGCUCAGCGGUAGAGCGCUUGCCUCGUAUGUGCAAGGGACCCUGGGUUUGAUCCUCAGCACCA
This 71-nucleotide transfer RNA is filed under the name Ictidomys tridecemlineatus (thirteen-lined ground squirrel). Its description in RNAcentral is "Spermophilus tridecemlineatus (thirteen-lined ground squirrel) tRNA". It matches the Rfam family "tRNA". From Rfam's summary of the family: Transfer RNA (tRNA) molecules are approximately 80 nucleotides in length. Their secondary structure includes four short double-helical elements and three loops (D, anti-codon, and T loops). The record is from Rfam by way of RNAcentral. Lineage: Eukaryota; Metazoa; Chordata; Mammalia; Rodentia; Sciuridae.